This 462-nucleotide ribosomal RNA is filed under the name uncultured bacterium. Its description in RNAcentral is "partial 16S ribosomal RNA". It matches the Rfam family "Bacterial small subunit ribosomal RNA", at positions 28 to 507 of the family's 1533-position model. The record is from RNAcentral.
GACGAACGCUGGCGGCGUGCUUAACACAUGCAAGUCGAGCGGAAAGGCCCUUCGCUGUACUCGAGCGGCGAACGGGUGAAUAACACGUGAGUAACCUGCCCCCGACUUUGUGAUAACCCUCGGACACGGGGGAUCAUACCCUAUACGACACAGCUUCGCAUGGCGUCUGUGUGGAAAGUUUUUCGGGUUUGGAUGGGCUCGCGGGCUAUCAGCUUGUUGGUGGGGUUAUGGCCUACCAAGGCGACGACGGGUAGCCGGCCUGAGAGGGCGACCGGCCACACUGGGACUGAGACACGGCCCAGACUCCUACGGGAGGCAGCAGUGGGGAAUAUUGCACAAUGGGCGGAAGCCUGAUGCAGCGACGCCGCGUGAGGGAUGACGGCCUUCGGGUUGUAAACCUCUUUCAGCAGGGACGAAGCGUAAGUGACGGUACCUGCAGAAGAAGCGCCGGCUAACUACGUG